RNAcentral lists this ribosomal RNA (241 nucleotides) under uncultured bacterium. Its description in RNAcentral is "partial 16S ribosomal RNA". It matches the Rfam family "Bacterial small subunit ribosomal RNA", at positions 15 to 245 of the family's 1533-position model. The record is from RNAcentral.
GAUCCUGGCUCAGGAUGAACGCUAGCUACAGGCUUAACACAUGCAAGUCGAGGGGGCAGCAUGAACUUAGCUUGCUAAGUUUGAUGGCGACCGGCGCACGGGUGAGUAACACGUAUCCAACCUGCCGAUGACUCGGGGGAUAGCCUUUCGAAAGAAAGAUUAAUACCCGAUGGCAUAGUUCUUCCGCAUGGUAGAACUAUUAAAGAAUUUCGGUCAUCGAUGGGGAUGCGUUCCAUUUAGG